Peromyscus maniculatus bairdii (prairie deer mouse) is the source of this 1402-nucleotide non-coding RNA. Lineage: Eukaryota; Metazoa; Chordata; Mammalia; Rodentia; Cricetidae. The record is from RefSeq and is a predicted model, not a curated record.
AAGAAUCAGACUUUUAUGGCCAGUGUGGACAACAGCUGGAUCUCCUGGGUGGUUGUUGGAGUCUUCCAGCUGAAGCCCCUCAAGUGAACUCUUUUUAAUAUGCUGGGGGAUAACAAAGUUCCAGCUGAGGAGGUGCUCGUGACUGUGGAGCUGCUUAAGGAAAAGGCUGAGGAGUUUUAUCGCUUGUACCAGAACUUGCCCCUGUCCUCCCACCCUGGGGUGGCCCUGUCAGAGCUGAGUACUCAGUGUGUCACUCCUGCCCAGACGAGAGGACCUUCUACCCGGUGCUGCGGCAGCUGCAGAAGAGUCACGGUCUUGGAACAGAAUGGAGAGAAGAUUCUGUCUCCUGUCAACGAUGUGGAUAUUGGGGUCUACCAGCUGAUGCAGAGUGAGCAGCUUCUCUCUCGAAAGGUUGAGUCUUUAUCCCAAGAAUCUGAGAGGUGCAAAGAGGAAGCCCGCCAAGCAUGCCGAGCUGGAAAGAAGCAGUUGGCACUGAGGUCUCUCAAGGCCAAGCAGAGGACAGAGAAACGCAUUGAGGACCCACACGCCAAGCUGGACACUGUUCAAGGCAUCCUGGAUCGCAUCUAUGCUUCCCAGAAAGACCAACUGGUUUUUAAUGCUUACCAAGCUGGUGUAGGAGCCUUGAAAAUCUCCAUGAGGGAUGUCACAGUGGAGAAGGCAGAGAGCCUUAUGGACCAGAUCCUGGAGCUGUGUGAUAUGCAGGAUGAAGUUUCUCAGACUGGCUGGCAGGGUAACCAAUGGUUUAGAUUUUGCCAGUGAGGAACUGGAGAAGGAGUUGGACAUCAUCCUUCAGGACACCACGAAAGAACCUUUGGAACUUCUCAACAACCCCUAUAAGACACUUUAUACCAAUAGUGUGCCUAAGCCUAAGAUCUUCGGUGCUGAACUUAAGGUUGAACUUGAGAAACUGUCCUUAUCAGAAGAAGGUUUGCAGGUCCUAAGCAGUAAAUCUCCAAAAAGGCAAUUGGAGCCGACUUUCUAAAGCUAUUGCAGGAAUUCAAGGGAAGGACCCUCGUGUAAAAGAGGGACAGCCUUGUGUGUGUACAUAGUUUUUUAAUGAGACCCACUGAGAAGUUGUUAAGAGGAGGAAAGAACCACUUGAAAGUAUCUGGAUGCUGCCACUCCUGACAGGACAGAUUCGGCUCCUGGAAGCCAUGCUGUGAAGGUGUGCUCCCAGCUGCUGUCAUGGACCUCCCUUCUCGUCUUUAUAGUGCCACAAUUUAUACAAUUCUGUGUAUGACCGUCGUCUCUGAUAGCCUGCAAUUCUCGCCAUUGGGUCCGUUAGGUUUGUCUUCACCCACCAGCUUCGUUCCAGCCAGUGAAGGUGAAAGGUUCGCAGCUUUGCCCAUCAGAGCCAGCCCUGUCUUCCACUCUUGAGGUU